Molecule: ribosomal RNA, 843 nt
Filed under: Mycobacterium sp.
Lineage: Bacteria; Bacillati; Actinomycetota; Actinomycetes; Mycobacteriales; Mycobacteriaceae
Description: bacterial SSU rRNA
Rfam family: Bacterial small subunit ribosomal RNA
Source: RNAcentral
UGAGUAACACGUGGGUGAUCUGCCCUGCACUCUGGGAUAAGCCUGGGAAACUGGGUCUAAUACCGGAUAGGACCAUGGGAUGCAUGUUCUGUGGUGGAAAGCUUUUGCGGUGUGGGAUGGGCCCGCGGCCUAUCAGCUUGUUGGUGGGGUGAUGGCCUACCAAGGCGACGACGGGUAGCCGGCCUGAGAGGGUGUCCGGCCACACUGGGACUGAGAUACGGCCCAGACUCCUACGGGAGGCAGCAGUGGGGAAUAUUGCACAAUGGGCGCAAGCCUGAUGCAGCGACGCCGCGUGGGGGAUGACGGCCUUCGGGUUGUAAACCUCUUUCAGUAUCGGCGAAGCUCCGUGGUUUUCUGCGGGGUGACGGUAGGUACAGAAGAAGCACCGGCCAACUACGUGCCAGCAGCCGCGGUAAUACGUAGGGUGCGAGCGUUGUCCGGAAUUACUGGGCGUAAAGAGCUCGUAGGUGGUUUGUCGCGUUGUUCGUGAAAACUCACAGCUUAACUGUGGGCGUGCGGGCGAUACGGGCAGACUGGAGUACUGUAGGGGAGACUGGAAUUCCUGGUGUAGCGGUGGAAUGCGCAGAUAUCAGGAGGAACACCGGUGGCGAAGGCGGGUCUCUGGGCAGUAACUGACGCUGAGGAGCGAAAAGCGUGGGGAGCGAACAGGAUUAGAUACCCUGGGUAGUCCACGCCCGUAAACGGUGGGUACUAGGUGUGGGGUUUCCUUUCCUUUUAGGGGAUCCCGUGCCGUANCUAACGCAUUUAAGUACCCCCGCCCUGGGGGAGUACGGCCCGCAAAGGCUAAAAACUCAAAAGGAAUUUGACGGGGGGCCCCGCACA